RNAcentral lists this ribosomal RNA (253 nucleotides) under uncultured bacterium. RNAcentral's name for it is "partial 16S ribosomal RNA". It matches the Rfam family "Bacterial small subunit ribosomal RNA", at positions 524 to 776 of the family's 1533-position model. The record is from RNAcentral.
UACGUAGGGUGCAAGCGUUGUCCGGAAUUAUUGGGCGUAAAGAGCUCGUAGGCGGUUUGUUGCGUCGGCUGUGAAAUCCCGAGGCUCAACCUCGGGUCUGCAGUCGAUACGAGAAAACUAGAGUGUUGCAGGGGAGACUGGAAUUCCUGGUGUAGCGGUGAAAUGCGCAGAUAUCAGGAGGAACACCGGUGGCGAAGGCGGGUCUCUGGGCAACAACUGACGCUGAGGAGCGAAAGCGUGGGGAGCGAACAGG